This is a long non-coding RNA of Monomorium pharaonis (pharaoh ant), 1294 nucleotides long. RefSeq lists it as uncharacterized. The transcript is spliced from 3 exons. The record is from RefSeq and is a predicted model, not a curated record. NCBI's taxonomy places the organism in Eukaryota, Metazoa, Arthropoda, Insecta, Hymenoptera, Formicidae.
UUGACUAUGUAGUUCAACGUGCACAUAGAGGCGCUGUCAGGUUUCUCUCUGCUUGAAUAUAACCAACACAGCGGCAUCUACUCCUGGCGUGUGAAGUUGGCCGCGCGUUUUACGAAUUUUCCACCAUGUUAGUUUUGUCCGUUACGCCAAACGUUUUGCGUCGCUUCACAAGAACACAUUACUUUUGCGUUAUUCGUCCUGGCGGAACGUAAUCGAGCUUGUGAUUGUCGUUGAAUGCGUCGUACGAAGUGUGCCGUAUGAUAUAUGUUAAUGACCGAUGUACAGACGAUUGUCAUCGACGUGCUUUCGCGUAUAAACUCGUGUUGCAAGUGUCGGUGUGAACGGCGUUGGAAUCGCAGUUUCGUGGAAUCUCGCGUUGCUCGUUUGUCUCGACACGAGAUCGGGAGUAUCGUACAAAGUAUCGCACGAUUUUGCGUUGAGAUUGUUAGUACGCAAAUAGUUCAAAUCUUAAGUAUUAUAAAGAAUUAAGUAGCAAUGAGCAAGAAAAGCCCAGGGAAAGGGAGGAGGUAUAUCAGGUAACGGCGGGACAACCGGAGAUUAAUGCAGUUUCAACCCCGCUGUUGCGCUUCAGUGUCGGUAAGUCUGAAACUUGUUAUCUUUAAAUUGCGACAAUAGAUGACGAUUAUUAAUAUCACCGAUGGAGGUCGCUAGAGAUCAAGAAAUAGAGUAAAGAAAAAUAGAAAUUAAAUUGCUUUAAGUUGGCUUUAGGUUAUAAGGUAUUUUAGUAAGUUACAUAUUAAAUUAAUAUGUAAUAAUAAUAAUUAACGAAGUGAGAGUUUUUGCAACCUGUUUAGAAAUGCUUAGUAAAAAUUUAAUAUGUAUUAAACUAUAACUGAAAGAUUAUGUUAACUUACAAAUUGACACACUGCAGUGCACACUUUAUAAGCUUAUGGUUAAAUAAACUAAAGUUUACGUAUACGUACAUGCAUAACUUUUAAUUUAUUUAACGAUUUUACAUGUAUAUGAUUUACACGAAGGACUUAAGCGAUUCGUUAAUGUUACAUUCUCUGUUAAUCGGAGAAGCAUGCGGUAGGUAUUUUUGCAAAGGUAUCGUUGCAAAGUUCUGUCCUACCUUGCCCAGACAUAAAUUAAAGUCUCAACGCUGACUGCUAACGUCACCUAGACUCUGACAUUAUUAAUUCACCACACAAGUGCUAAUGACAGCAUGUUUCAGAUAUUAACAAUAGGGAUAAAUAAUUGAACGAGUUCUAUGACAAUCAUUAUGAUGUAACGCAACUGGCAAAACAAUCUCCUGCGGUAAGAUAUGUGGUUG